UCUGGGAAACUGCCUGAUGGAGGGGGAUAACUACUGGAAACGGUGGCUAAUACCGCAUAACGUCGCAAGACCAAAGAGGGGGACCUUCGGGCCUCUUGCCAUCAGAUGUGCCCAGAUGGGAUUAGCUUGUUGGUGAGGUAACGGCUCACCAAGGCGACGAUCCCUAGCUGGUCUGAGAGGAUGACCAGCCACACUGGAACUGAGACACGGUCCAGACUCCUACGGGAGGCAGCAGUGGGGA
Molecule: ribosomal RNA, 241 nt
Filed under: Salmonella enterica subsp. enterica serovar Haifa
Lineage: Bacteria; Pseudomonadati; Pseudomonadota; Gammaproteobacteria; Enterobacterales; Enterobacteriaceae
Also listed under: 1 other name
Description: partial 16S ribosomal RNA
Rfam family: Bacterial small subunit ribosomal RNA
Source: RNAcentral